Molecule: ribosomal RNA, 347 nt
Filed under: uncultured bacterium
Lineage: Bacteria
Description: bacterial SSU rRNA
Rfam family: Bacterial small subunit ribosomal RNA
Source: RNAcentral
GACGAACGCUGGCGGCGUGCUUAACAUAUGCAAGUCGAGCGAAGUAUUCAAGAUAGAUUUCUUCGGAUUGAAGUCUUGAAUAUCUUAGCGGCGAACGGGUGAGUAACGCGUGAGAAACCUGCCUUUCACAAAGGGAUAGCCUCGGGAAACUGGGAUUAAUACCUUAUGAUACUUACAUUUCACAUGAGAAGUAAGUUAAAGCGCAAAGCGGUGAAAGAUGGGCUCGCGUCCGAUUAGAUAGUUGGUAGGGUAAAGGCCUACCAAGUCAACGAUCGGUAGCCGGACUGAGAGGUUGACCGGCCACAUUGGGACUGAGACACGGCCCAGACUCCUACGGGAGCAGCAGU